ACCCAAUGCAUCGCUGCAGCAGUGCCGUGUAAUGGCAGCGGUGCCCCCUCCCGCAGGUGACACGGUGACACCGAGGAGCCGGGCGUUGUCACCCUCACGGCGGCGGCGGCCAGCGCUGGUGGCACGCGGCGGCAGGGGGACGUGGCCCCCGGCACCGCGUCCCCAAGGGACAAAGCCCCCGCGUGGCGAUGUCCCCAAAUGGCGAGGUCCCCAAAUCACGAUGUCCUUCGGUUGCGAUGGCCCCAAAUGGCGAGGUCCCCAAGUGACACUGUCCCCAAAUCACAAUGUCCUUCGGUUGCGAUGUCCCCAAAUCGCAAUGUCCUCAAGUGAUGAUGUCCCCAAAUUGCAAUGUCCUUAAAUGACAAAGUCCCCAAAUGGGAAUGUCCCCAGAUGGUGAUGUCCCCAAGUGCCAAUGUCCCCAAAUCACAACGUCCUUCAGUGACGAUGUGCCCAGAUGGUGAUGUCCCCAAGUGACGAUGUCCCCAAAUCACGAUGUCCUGAAGUGGCAAUGUCCCCAAAUCACAGUGUCCUUUCACAGUGUCCCCAAGUCACGAUGUCCCCAAAUCGCGAUGUCCCCAAGUCGCGAUGUCCCCAAGUCGCAACGUCCUCAUGUCACAAUACAAAGACAAAUUCUUGAGCCACAGUGUCCCCAAGUUGCAGCGUCCCUGUGUCACAACGUCCCCAUGUCACAACAUCAAUUCAUCAUGUCCCCAGGUCACGACGUCCCCAUGUCACGACGUCCCCAUGUCACGAUGUCCCCAAGUCACAAUGGCCCCGCAUUGCAUUGUCCCUGUGUCACAACAUCCCCAUGUCACAACAUUGUCACGCUGUCCCCAUGUCACGACAUCCCCAUGUCACGAUGUCCCCAUUGCACCAUGUCCCCAAGUCACAAUGUCCCCAAGUUGCAGUGUCCCUGUGUCACAUUGUCCCCAUGUCACGACAUCCCCAUGUCACAAGUCCCCAUGUCACGACAUCUUCAAGUCGCGAUGUCCCCGAGUUGCAGUGUCCCUGUGUCACAUUGUCCCCAUGUCACGACAUCCCCGUGUCACACUGUCCCCAUGUCACGACAUCCCCAAGUCACGACAGCCUCACGUCAUGCCCCACAUCACACUGCCCCACAUCGCUCUGACCGAUAGCACAGGGCCCCACAUCGCUCUGCCCCACAUCAGACUGCCCAUCACAGUGCCCCACAUCGCUCUGCCCCACAUCGCUCUGCCCCACAUCAGACUGCCCAUCA
RNAcentral lists this long non-coding RNA (1237 nucleotides) under Numida meleagris (helmeted guineafowl). RNAcentral's name for it is "lncRNA (ENSNMEG00000000790.1)". The record is from RNAcentral. Lineage: Eukaryota; Metazoa; Chordata; Aves; Galliformes; Numididae.